Parus major (Great Tit) is the source of this 11052-nucleotide long non-coding RNA. RefSeq lists it as uncharacterized. The record is from RefSeq and is a predicted model, not a curated record. NCBI's taxonomy places the organism in Eukaryota, Metazoa, Chordata, Aves, Passeriformes, Paridae. The transcript has 10 exons.
UGAAAUGGCUGAUCCAACCCAAUAUUCUUCCUGCCCCAGGAUAAUGGCAAUGUUUUCAGUCAGUGGUGGGAGAUGUAGUGAGGGAAAGGAAUGCUUCUAGAUGUGCUUUUGCCCAGCAAGGAGAAAACACACAUUUCCAAAACUGUGAAAAAGAGAAUGCACAAUAAUUUUACUCACCACACAACAGAGAUGUUCUUGCAGAAUCACACAAAUUAAUUACAGUAUUGACUAAGCAAUCUCCAACUUCACUUCUUGAAAAAGCAAUUCUGCACAAAGGAAAAGCUGAAUAAGGGUUUAGUAAUUUAGGACCAGCUGACAUGCUGAGCAUGGUAACUGUAUCUUACACAAGGUAAUAGUUUUGUGCUCAGAAUACUCCUAGGCCAGCAGACCAGAUGCUUUUUCCAGGGCAAACAAAUGAAAGAGCCUGGACUCUAUCUUCUCCAGCUGAAUUAAAUGCACCAUUCCAUACUAAGCCAAAUCCUGGACUCAGGUAAAGUAACAAAAUUGAAAUUAAUUUAUGUUGAUAAUUUGUUUAGAUCUGAAUGGUGACAACUAAAACCCUGACUUCCAUUUUCAGUAUUAAUUGUGUUUGUUACAAUGAUGACUAAAACUAACCGAAAGUGAAGUACCAUUGUGCAGACUUUACAGAAACUUUCUUUAUUCCACUUUUCCUCCCAUGUGUUGUAUUCCCAACAAUUUAUAAAAACUGUUGUAGUAACUGUCUUUUAUUUCCUUAUACUCUUUGCAUAGGAAACUAGUCUCAUCACCAGUCAUGAAAUGCCUCCUUUCUCUCACUUUCAUUCAUAAACCCCACAAAAUCCCACAAUCAAAUGCUUCUGCAGGAUUACACCCACACAAAACCAGAUGAGGAAUUUAGACUCCUACUGACCCCAGAAUUAAACAUGCAAGCAGGUUCACAUCUGGGGAUUUAAAUCCAAACUCCUUUACACAGAAAUUCAAAGAGGAUCAGAUCUGAGGUUCUGGUUUUGCACCAUUUCUAAUCCUAAUAAUUUUAACUUAAUCCAAACCUCAGCUACAGAACUAUACAAUUUUAACCAGGACACUACUGACAUAUUUGAAAGUGAAAAUAGGAAGCUAAGACUGACAUUUGCAGCUACUGCCACCCAUUAGUAACACUCAAGUAGGCAUUUAAAGAACCUCAUUUUCCCCUCAGUCUGCUUCUGCACUAUUGUGACUACUAAUUUAAGUGGAGUUAUCCCUAACUAACUCCCAUAUAAAUGGAAAAAGGUUCCAUCUUCAAUAGAGGAACCAACAUGGCCUUAUGUAGGCAGCAUUAAUUUUAAUUUCCUCUCUGUUCUUUGAAAAAAAAAAAAAAGGUACUUUUUAUUUAUUUGCAAGCUUUAUCUUAAAGUAAUUAUUUGCAAAAGUCAUCCUCAACGAGGGCUGGGUUUUUGGUUACUGAGUACAUUUUCUGGUUUAUAUUUUCCAUCAUAAGGCAUCCUGGUUUUGUAGAACGAUUUUUACUAGGAAAUGAAAUGAGAUUACCAUCAGAACUUUUAGACAUUGCUGCGAUGCAGUUUGAAAUUGAGCACAUUUUCAAGUUCACUAAAUAAAGCUUCUUUCAGCCACAAGCAGGUCGAAUGUGACUCUACAGCCAGCCACAGGACAUGGGCAGUUAGAAGUGACACAUCAGUUUUCAAGGUCAUCUGACUCAGCUUUGAUGUGAGCAAGGACAAGGUGCAGUGAUGACAGGCAGGUCCAUCACAUCAGAGCCCAGGAACAGAAGUAUCUUCUCUGAGCUGGUGCCUGACAAUUCGAAAUCAAAGGGCAUCUGGUGGAAGAUUACAGUUACAACAGUUUGGGGAAAAGGAAACAAAACCACUGUUCAUCCCUGCAAUGGGAUAUCUUGUGACAAACAUCUUACUCUAACUGGGGUCAAAACAUCUGACCUAUUAACAGAAAAGGAGCAGAUUGAGAGCUUGCCUGUACUGGUGCAGAAGGAUGCCAACCUCAGCAGAAUUUACUUAUUUCCUAAGAGCACAGCAAAGCCUCCUGAAGUUCACCAGGAAUUUUGUAGCACCUGUCUGGCACAAAAUCUGCUGGUCAUCUGAUUUUUCCUGUGGAGCCAGAGAAGACCAAGCUGGAUCCCCGAACUUCCUACACUGGUAGCCUCUACCAAAGUAUGUGUGGAUGCCUGCGAGCUAUACCAUCUACUGAAGGGGACAGCUGGAAUCAUUGGCAGGAACACAACAGCAUUUAUCAGGUUUUUCCCAGUGCUGAAGCUCUCGGUGGCAAAGACUGAGGCUUCGGAAAUGCCCUAGGAAGGCUGUCAGGAGCCAGCGGGCAUCGGGCAGUGACAGCAGACUUGCAAGCCAAGAGCAGCAUGUGUGAUAGCUACUCUAAUCACCACCCCUACAGACCUUAGCCCAGCAUGAAUCCCUCCCUUCCCUCCCUCCCUGCGAGAGAAGACACAGCAGCUGAAGUCGCCUUUACAAGUCAUGCUGACAUGGGAGAAAGAAGCUAAAUGGGAGAAAGAGGCUUAUGGGAUAAUGAGCAAAUAUUUUUUAAUUAGUGGUGAACUGAGUAUUUCUCCUGUUUCCUGCUCCAGAUCCUGGCUGGCAGAAGAAAAAGAAGGAGGCAGAACUGGGAUGGAGUAGGAGAGCACUAGGGUGAAUGGGAUUCCACCAAGUGGCUUUGCUUUUCCUAUGAUCCUUAAUCUCUCACAGUUGGGUCUCCUUCUUGCUCUGAUAUGCACAAUUUUUAUUUCCCCCUCUCUGCUGCAGCAAGCAUCAUUUUAAAAUUCCCACAGGCACAACUUUGGAGGCCUCCUAGUUUCCAAAGGAGAAGUAAGUCAGGUGAACCAUGAAUUCACCCUGUAGGUGGCAGGGACUCUUUUCUGACUGGUUUUCCCUCACCUUUAACCUUGUUCUACCCUCCCUUGAUGCAUUAGUGAGGUGCCUCAAAUCUGCAAGUGACAUAAUUUGCUCAACAAUCAGCAUUCUCCAUCAAUAAUGAAACCAAAAACAUAGCUUGAUAGACAACAAGGCUAGAGCAGCUGGCAGUGCUGCACAAAUCUGGCACUAUUGCUGCUGAGUUUAUUAGACGUUUUAUAGUCCUGAGAACUAAAGAUAAUGGAUCCCAUUCCCAUAUGCUGCAUCAACAAGAGCUGGGACUUCGUCGUGCCAUUGAUCUAUGAGGCAGCAGUGAAUACGACCCAGACACAAAUGUUAAAAUGAAUCAAUCCUAAGCUGCUAAAGAGACACCAAGAAGCACUUUCCAAUUCUCAGUUCUUGCUUUCUAAUCUCCGUUCCAUGAAAUACUCUCCCAAGGGUUUUUGAAUACAACAGUUUGCUGCAGAGUUUGGGAUCAGCUUGAGAGGAAUUGCCCCUGUGGAUCAAAGAAUAGAGAUGAAAUUUAGAGCCCAUUAUCCUUAGUAGGCACUUGUGAGCUCCACCCAUUCCCUAUGAAGCAAAAAGCUUUUGGGGAUUGCUUUAAUUUUUAAAAAGUGCUGUGUGAUUAUGUUCAUACAGGUUUGCUGUAGGGUUCAUAAAGCUAUUCUCCUCAGACGACUGGAAGACAAACUUUGAUUUGCUUCCAAGAACAGAAAACUGUAAGUAUCUGCAGCCAAGAGAAUUAAGAAAAAAAUUGGAACAGACUUUAGUCUGAACCUCACCAAUAGUGAGUACUACUCAGGUGUUAACAUUGGUUACUUCAGAAACUAUGGUACCUUCCAAUGUUAGCAUGUGAAACUGCCAUGGUUGCUGCAGUCUCAAAUCCAUUUCCAUUGAAUCUUCAUCAAUGUACUCUAUUUUACCUCUUUAAAACACUUAAUACUCAAUAUCCACAAAUUGUUUUAAAGCAAGCAUGCAAGGAAAAGAAAAAAGUCUAAAAUAGCAGCCUCUAGACUGACACCUGAAAUAUAAAAUAGAGACAAGAGAAAAAUGCUAUGAUGUAAAAUCAGUUUUCAAGGCAAGGAGAGACUGCCUGGCUAUGUACACAAAAUGAAAGUUUCACCAAGACAUUAUCGCAUAAAAUAGUUUGGAGUGCUCCUACUCAAACACAGGGUUAUGUAAAGGAAAGACAAUCAGCUCACUCGUCCUGAUUAUGGAUGCCAAGAGGAACUGAUGACGGCCUCAGGCACUUUCAUGGCUCCAUGUGCCCAAAAUCUCUGCAAAAAUCAUAUCAAGUGGCAUUUGGUAUUUGACCUUGCUGUACCCUUUACGGCAGGAAAUAAUGCUACUUGGGUACAACAGCUCCACAAAAUCCCGAGUGUUUUCCAGUAACUAGUAUCAAGUAAAUAACUCAAAAAAGCUGGAUGAAAAACUAAAAAAGAGAUUAAUGUGUUCAUUAAUAUGGUAAAUUAUUUUCUCCUGUAUGUAUCUGAAUGGAUGGGCAAAUAAUGAGUCUCUUAGAUUUGUGGAGCAUUUCACACUGGGGAGAAGAUCUGAUUGCUGUGCACAUUGCAUCAUUCUGUUAAUUUGAACAAUGAAACCCAACAGCUGUUUAAUAACACACCCAAGUUUACAACCUGAGGUAGAAGCAAUGUAAUUAUUUUGAGAUAAGUUAGACUGCUAAUGCUAGUAUGUGGAUUUAAGAGAUGAGUUUCUUAAUAGCUCCAUGGAAUCCAUACUUAGCUUGCAGGAGCAAAACAAAAAAUCUGGGUUCAGGGAAGAACUCAAGCUUUGAAUGAUUCAUGCAAGUCAUGUGGCAGACAUUUUAUCAGUGCUGGUCAAGAAAAAAAUGCAUUUCAAUUUUUAACACUAAGGAAAGCUUAUUAGGAAAGCUUCCCAUUAGGAUGCUCCUUUGUAGGUGUGGAACCUACAAACCUAAAAAACCUGUUUAAACUUUUGACUUAAAAAACAAUAAAAACGUAUUUAGGUGUGAGGGAAAUAAUAAAAAUAUUGGGUUUGGUAAAAUUCUGUUACCCCCAAAAGAAAUAAUCUGAAAACUCCAGUAUAGAUCAUGAUUUGAUGAAAUUGUAAAAGAGAAGUUAGCAGAGUUCAAAUUGAAGUCUCCACCAGCAGCCAGGAUGUCAUGCAAUACCUUAUGUGAACAGCUCAAAGGGUUCCUGUCAAAGUUAAAAACAGCCUAUAAUAAUUUUAUUUGUUACUACAAACAAGUCGUUACACUUAUUAUAUAUACACUUAUAUUAUUUUCAUGUUUUUUAUUAAAAAGCUUCCUUUUUAAACAAUAAUUUUAAGUAUAGCGAUUAUCUGAACACCUGAAGCUCAAAACACUGCUCCCAUCACACCACUGUGCUUCUCACCCCGGCAUGUAAAUACAGUCAUAAACAUAUGCCCUGAGGAUAGGCUAGCCACUUCACACCAGGAAAACCUCAUGUGCUGAAAAGUGAGCAUCAGCACACAGCCCAGUGUCCAGAAUGAAGGGCAUCAGAUGAGCAGUUUUAUCCCUAAUUCUGCUACUCACAUGUUGCCAUUGACCAGCUGAGCUGAUGAUUCUGGACUCAUUACUGCCACAACCUAUGGUUGGAGGGAUUUAGGUCUGCAUGUGAACAAUGCUCAUGGCAAAGUGUUGCAACAUGUAGAGUCAUGAAUUGGCUGUAGCCUGAAAAGGGAGAAGUAGAGAAAACUCAUGAAAUGCUAUGAACUACAGUAAAACUUGUGUUCAAACACUGCUAAAAUAAAAAAGCUUCAUAAAGCUCAGACAAGAGAUCUAGUUUGGAUCUUGAAAAAAAAUAAAAUUUCCAAGAGUUGAGAGAUUUGCAUGGAGUUGUUUUCCUCUUAGGCUUUCCCUUGCACCUGUCCUCACCCCACAAAGUGGGCCAUCAUCCAUCCAUUGAAUUGGUUCCUAUUGCGCAACCCUCCUGUUUUUGUCCUGGUUCAAUCCCUCAGACUUUCUUCAUUAAGUGAAUGAUUUAAUCUCAAGAGCUCACUAGUUUGGUGACUCCUAUCCAGCAAAACAAGCUCCCAGUCCUUCCCUGCUGGUACCUGCUGCCCCAAAGGCAAAGCAAUAAAGCACAGCCUUGCUGGCAUGGUGUCUCCCUUUACCUGGGCAGGUUUAGCCUCUCUUCUCUGUUCAGCAGGUUUUCCUGGCUGCUGAAACCUCUUACCAGCCCUGCUGCCUGGCUGAGGUGCAUGGGAACAAGCUGGACAGCUGCCCUUCCACCUGCUCCUGCCAGAAAAGUGUGCUGCACUCUUGGAUGCCUUGAGAUGGCAUUCAGCCCCUUGCCCUUGCACAGAGACCUAACUCCAGCACAACCCCAGAGGACAAAGCGAGUCUAGAUGCUGUUGACACGGCACAGAGGAGAGAUCUGGUGGAGCCUGGGCAGCUGUGGAGGGGCAGAGUCUGGCCAUGGGGACACUGAGCUACUAAGACCAGGCUGCACCUCAACAGCACAAGCUGUCUGCACCAGUCCUCCCAUAAAUCUCCAUGCUGAACUGUCCAAGCUGUGAAUGAGAACCCCCAAAUAAUUAAACAUCAUCUGCUUUAGCAGACACUAGCAGGAAAAUAAAUAAGACAUCCCAACAGAGGAAGAUAAUUUCACGUUUACGCUUGCAAGGGAAAAGGGAAUUUGAAACAAACAAAACAUCUUUUUUUUCCCCCUUCAGAAACUGUCUGUCAAAGCAGGACCGUAGCGACACUGAGGACUCUGUGCAAAAUUCUUCUGUUUGCUUCUGCAUUUGAUUAGCUGCCUGCAUUAUGUGUUUUAAUUUCCUGCCAUUGAAGCACAUUGCUGUCAUGGUGAUAGAUGCUAUAGAAAUGAGUAAAAUAAAUAAAAAAAAGUUCAGAACACUUUUGACCAAGUCUGCACUAAUUAGCGCAUAAGACAAACAGACAAAUGUUUUCUGGGAUUUGUGUCAACUGUAUCCAGAUUCCUCCCCUGCUUCUCAGAUAUCAGCAAAACCCUUUCUAGAAAUGGAAAUAAAGAAAGGCAGCAGAUGGUGCUGGGAAUACUCAGAGUAAGAUGUCUCCAUUCAGACCCAGAUAUUACUAUCAAACCAUGGAGUUAACAAGCACUGUGGAGCAGUGAAUAUUUAAUGUAUGGUAGUAGAAGAGCAAGGAAGGCAAUAUUGCAAAAUGACUGGAAAAGGCUAACCAGAAAACCAUUCCAGAACUUGUGUGGGUAGGAUGCUACCUGUGGUGGCAAAAGCUGAUUUAGCAGGAAUAGGUGGCAGUGGGAGAGGAAGAAGAAGGAGACUAUCCCUUGGCAGAAACAUGGGAGAAUGGAGAUUAAUCUUGUUAAUGAAGUUUAUAGUACCAAAAUGAUGGUGUGGUACUGUUCAUCUCUACUGGACUUUAUAAAAGAAACCAAAAUAUUAAUAAUUGUAACUAGCACAGGGUUCAACCAAGGCAUCCCAAGACUUUUACAGGCAUAAAACUGUCUGUGCUUUCAAAGUGAGGAAAGGAUUUCUCUGAUUGACAACAGGAAAGAAAUACAUAAAAAUAACUCCUUUCCAAAACCAAAGAGAAGUUAUUAUUUCUUGCAGAGCUUCUACCACAAGCCAUCAUCAUCCCCUCCUGGCUGCCUUUCCUGUAGAGAUUCAAAGGUACAACACAUAUCCUCAAGCCAUGUAAUAUCACUGCUAUUGUGCUCUCUAUGCAGUUCUGAUCAAAUUUUCUUUGAUCAGAAAAUUAAUCUUAGUUAGAAAUAGGAAACCUAAAGGAUAUUUACCGGACGCAGUCUAUAUUAAAUUAGCAGAUGUUUAGCAUUUUUUUUUCCAGGGUACCAUCAUUUCUCUGACAAACACAAUCUCAAUUUGGGCUAUAAGUGUAAAUUCUAAUCUCAGUAAUAACAUCUCCAAUCAUAUUGCAUGCCACCUGCAUAUACUUUGCAAUGCAAAUUGCCUGAAACACAUCCUUCCUUUCAGCCCACAACUCUAAAUGGAGGUGAAACCCCACAGCUUGAAUUUUUGGCUUUGCACAAUCUGACCUGUAGACUUUGACCUCAAGCUGAAUCUCUGCAGUUGAAAAAACCUUGCUAGGAAUUACAUAUGUACAGAACAUGGAAGCCUUUAUCAAUGCUGCUUUUGUUACAGUCUGGAAGGAGUUGCUAACCAAUUGGCUGCAUUUUUUUUUUCAGAUGGCUGUAGUCUGUACAGGGCUAACAGUGGAGCAAGUGCACUGCUGACAUAGCUAUGCAGUAAGGGCUGUAAGUAAAGAAGCACAGGGUAAAGUCUUGGGAUUUGAGGCACCCUCAAAUAUGCAGUCAUUCAAGGAUGGGCCAACCAUCUGCUCUGGGGACAUGUUGGCUGGUAACUGUGGUAUCAUUAUUCCAGAUCUCACACAUGUUCUUCUAAAUUCACCUCUUCUUGACAGAAUGCUUUGGUGUCAGGCAAAUCAGAAAAAUUACCCUCCAAAUCUUACCCAGGUGCCACCAGAUGCUUGACAAAAGCAGUCACCAGUUAUGCAAGGACCAGCGUCUUCCACAGCUGUCUCCAGCUGAUGGCUUAUGCCACUUUGGCUGCAGGAGGAAUGAAGUUUCAGCCACAGAAAUCCCAUCUGCUAUGUCAGAAACCUGCAGUGCCUAAACCUGGCCAUCACUAGCUGCUGGUCACUGGCAUUAGCAACCACAGCUCAUGCUAUGAUUAGGGGAGUUCCAGGUUUUCUGCAUCAUCUCAUUGCAUUUAGGACACGUCUCCUCCUCCGUCUACAUCCACAGGUAGUGCAGUGGCCCAAGAGGGCAGAGGCAGCUAUCAGGGUGGCAAGGAAUGGCUGAGGAAAGCAAAAAGUGUCAGCAGGAACCUAUGGAAAGCUGUAGGGAACAGGGGGAAGGUGUAGGACAAGGCUGGCACAGCCUUCAACCCCUUUGUGCAGAGACAGCCCCAUCUGCAGCAAUCUCAGACUGAAAGUCAGCCAUGUGCCAAAGCACCUACAGAAAAAAUUGGGCAGCUGUGGGGAAAAUACAUUCCACUGCAGAUGCAUCACUAUGAAAAUAGCCCAACCUGCUGACUGGACAGCCUGCACAGAUCUCACUAACGCAGCAGGCUGAGCAACUAAGGUGUCAAUUACCAGAGCGCAGCACGUGUGUACAGAGACCGGCAGGGAAGAUGUACGUGAGUGGGAGUUGAGUCCAUCACUGCCUCCAAUGCAAGGUUCAGGGGGGAGAAGUUUAAUGCACUCCAGGAGGUUACUGAAUAUGCAAUUUGGACUGCUUAUCCACAUGUCUUUUCCAGCAGGCUGAAGGGUUUGCAGUGAGGGGCAGUGGGUUCCUGCUGCUGGGUAAUGAAGACCCAGCACAGAGUGCUGUAGUGAAGGAGCAUCUUGCUUGAGUUUUAGGUACAGAUGCAGAUGUUUUUGGGGAAUUUUCUUCAAGGCCACAUACAUCAUCUGUCCUGUAAAUGAUUGCAGUGGCACCAGCUCCUGUCCUUGACUGUGCUUCUUUGUCAAGCACAGCAGUGAUAGCAAUCACUUCAGGUUUUGCAAACCUGCAGAUCACUAUUGCCAAUCUUUGUAUGAACAAGAACUAAUUAAUCUUCACCACAUCUUUGUGAAGAAGGGAAGGACAUUACUGGCAAGAAUAAUUCUUCACACUUUUGACCAAACCAGCUACAUUUCCCCAAACCAGCCUUUCACCUCAAGCAAAUACUACUCAACUGCCCUCCAAUAAAUGAUCUUACUCCUUAAAGCUUCAAGGCAAAAACUGCCCGCUGAGCAGAAACACCCAAUGGGUUCAAUGUGGUGCAAGUCCCCACAGACCAGGUGCAGUCACUGAUGACCUUUUAAUGCCCACCACUGAUGAAGGCUCAAGCUUGGUACCAUCUACACUCCUUGACAUAAUAAAGCUCAGCCUUCAAGAGAAAAGCUGCUGUCUUCCAGACCUGCAGUUCCCAGUGCAAGAAAGAGCCAUCAACAGAGACACUAAUAUGUUUUUGGUUUGCUGUUGAAAAGAAGAAAGAACAAGGGCAAAGGAAUAACCUCAGAGAACUUCCAUCAGCUCCCAAAAUGGUCCCUAGCUGUAUGGGUUUGGGAAAAAGGAUAAGCAUUUUAUUUUCUUCAGCAUGCCCUGCAGCAUUUGUCCAUCAUUUUCUUUGAGAUGAGCCAGGCUCGUUUAACUCCAGUAUUUACUGGUAAAAAAAUUUCUCUAUCUUGUUUUCCUGGAACAUUUCAGCUUGGCUCUGCAGUCAGGCAUUUCUGAAGAGCAUUUGCUUCAGUUCAGCAGAAUCUUCAACUUAGGACCAGGUUUUAAAAAUAGUAAGCUUCUACUUUUUUUUUUUUUUCCUAGCUUUUUUCCCCUUUCCUUGCUGUUUCCUUUUCAUUACCAAGGUACAGCUGGAAAGAGGGAGAGAGACAGACAUUCUCCUUUGUUUUGAACUUUGGACCAAAGGCUUAUGCUUCAGAAAAGCAAUGCUGCUCUCCCAAAGGCCAUCCUUCGUUUCUGUUAUGCCUCGUUGCCUCUCCUCCCCACAUGAGAGAAAACCCCCAACAAUAUCAUCUCCCUCGAGCUCUAAGAAAACAGGUAAUGAUGCAUGGAUGUGCAAUGAAAUUUCAAAAAUGUGCACUGACUUUUUAGAAAUAUGCCAACUGGCAAAUAAAAAGUAAAAUUAAAAAUCAGACCUAGCCAAUGUUUAAGGCGUUGAGUCUUCAGUAGCACCAACUGUGAACUGAAGCCUCUGUCACAGCACAGCAGCUUGCCCAAUAUUUAUUGUUUACAAUUUAGCCAAAAAAUAUGAUCUGUGCUUAACACAAAAGAUAGUUUGCUUAUUGUUAUUAUCUGUUUCCAGCCUACUGCUGACACACUCCAGCAGACCUUGAGUGUGUCCUGUAUAAGGUAUUUAUAGGUUUUCCUACUCAAAAAGCCUUCAAAAACCAUAGCUUUGGUUGUGUAGUGACCUGCCCAUAUGUAUGGAUAUAUCCAGCAGGAGACACUGCACUUUGUGCUUAUGUGAAGGCAAAGUGAUAGCAACUCCUUCAGAGCUGGGUACAGGAGCAAAGCUACAGAUGCAGAUACAUUGACAAGUCAAUAGAAACAUGGGCAAACUCUCUGUGUUGAGUCAUAUUUAGUUUAAUUUCCCUAUAGAUACAAGUAUUUAUGGCUGAAUCCUAUGCUGUGCACCCAAAGAUUUACCAUCAAGUGGAUGUGUGCAAAUGGACAUGGCUGCACACCAUCGCUAGCGGGUGUGUAUAUGUGAG